CCAGGAGGUUGGCUUAGAAGCAGCCAUCCUUGAAAGAGUGCGUAAUAGCUCACUGGUCGAGUGAUUGGGCGCCGACAAUUCAACGGGGCUCAAGCGGAGUACCGAAGCCGCGGAUCUGGUCUCAGCUUGCUGAGAUCAGGUGGUAGGGGAGCGUUCCGUUCAGCAGUGAAGGCGGACCCGCGAGGGCCGCUGGAGCGGACGGAAGUGAGAAUGCCGGUAUGAGUAGCGAAAGGCGUGUGAGAACCACGCCCACCGAAUACCUCAGGGUUCCUACGGCAGGGCAAUCCGCGUAGGGUUAGGCGGGCCUAAGCCGAGGCCGAAAGGCGUAGGCGAUGGACAGACGGUUCAUAUUCCGUCCCCGCUGAGUGUGUGCCUGAGCGACAGGGGCGACCCGGGAAGAUAGCGUGAGCGGGCCUAAUGGACAUGGUCCGUCGCGCCGCGUACGCGUCGAGCGGGGUUCAAAGACCGCUCGGUUAAGCAGAGGCGGCGCGGAAGCGGCGACGUCAGUCAAAGCGACUCGUGUGACACCCUCGGCCAGAAAACCCUCGGUCGCGAAUACAUUCAGCGCCCGUACCGCACACCGACACAGGUAGGUGAGGGUAAGUACCUCCAGGUGGACGAGUGAUUCCUCGCUAAGGAACUCGGCAAAAUAGUUCCGUAACUUCGGGAGAAGGAACGCCUCGCGGCUGGUCCCCGACUCGCUCGGGCGAACGGCCGGAGGCCGCAGCGAGCAGGCCCAGGCGACUGUUUAACAAAAACACAGGUCUCUGCGAACGCGAAAGCGGACGUAUAGGGGCUGACGCCUGCCCAGUGCUGGAAGGUUAAGGGGAGGGCUUCACGGCUCGAACCGAAGCCCCAGUGAACGGCGGCCGUAACUAUAACGGUCCUAAGGUAGCGAAAUUCCUUGUCGGGUAAGUUCCGACCCGCACGAAUGGCGUAACGAUCUGGGCACUGUCUCGGCGAGGAGCUCGGCGAAAUUGAAGUGGCCGUGAAGAUGCGGCCUCCCCGCAGAUGGACAAAAAGACCCCGUGGAGCUUUACUACAGCUUGACAUUGAAGGUCGCCUUAUGAUGCGUAGGAUAGGUGGGAGCCGGCGAACUCGGGCUUGCGGGCCCGGGGGAGGCAACCUUGGAAUACCACCCUUCGUAUGGUGUCCUUCUAACGCGUGAGCAAGCACGCGGACCGUGUCUGGUGGGUAGUUUGACUGGGGCGGUCGCCUCCCAAACAGUAACGGAGGCGCGCAACGGUUCCCUUAGGGUGGAUGGAAAUCACCUGUCACGUGUAUUGGCAUAAGGGAGCUUGACUGCGAGACUGACACGUCGAGCAGGGACGAAAGUCGGCCAAAGUGAUCCUACGGUUCCGAGUGGUAGGGCCGUGGCUUAUCGGAUAAAAGUUACCCCGGGGAUAACAGGCUUAUCUCGCCCGAGAGUUCACAUCGCCGGCGAGGUUUGGCACCUCGAUGUCGGCUCGUCGCAUCCUGGGGCUGAAGCAGGUCCCAAGGGUUGGGCUGUUCGCCCAUUAAAGCGGCACGCGAGCUGGGUUCAGAACGUCGUGAGACAGUUCGGUCUCUAUCCUCUGUGGGCGUUGGAGCGUUGCGGGGAACUGCCCCUAGUACGAGAGGACCGGGGUGGACGGACCGCUGGUGUGCCAGUUGGAGGGCCGACCUCCACCGCUGGGUAGCCAUGUCCGGACAGGAGAAGCGCUGAAAGCAUCUAAGCGCGAAACCAACCUCAAGAUGAGCGCUCCCUCCGCCAUUGAGCGGAUAAGGCCACGGGAAGACGACCCGUUUGAUAGGCGACAGGUGGAAGCCCGGUAACGGGUGCAGCUGAGUCGUACUAAUGGCCGAACGGCUUGACCUG
Molecule: ribosomal RNA, 1858 nt
Filed under: Chloroflexota bacterium
Lineage: Bacteria; Bacillati; Chloroflexota
Description: Chloroflexi bacterium partial 23S ribosomal RNA
Rfam family: Bacterial large subunit ribosomal RNA
Source: RNAcentral